RNAcentral lists this long non-coding RNA (1875 nucleotides) under Rhopalosiphum maidis (corn leaf aphid). RNAcentral describes it as "uncharacterized LOC113556948". The record is from RNAcentral. Lineage: Eukaryota; Metazoa; Arthropoda; Insecta; Hemiptera; Aphididae.
UGGAACCCUACGUUUUAUUUUUGGUCAAAAAAAGUUAUAUCUUUUAUGUCAAAGGAAAUUUGUUUUAUUAAACUGAUAAACAAAAACUUGGAAGGUAUUUUUACUAUUCAGAACUCACUUAUAUUAUAUUAUAUCUUAAGUUUACCGAAAUACGAUGUCAAUAUUAUAAUGGUAUAAAAAUGGAGACACUGAUCGUCGUGAUUUAUGGGGAAAUAACUAUAAAACAAGUUAUGUUUUUAUUUCACUACACUUCUAUAAUUUUAUUUGUGAUGUAAAAUAAAAUUGUCACCUAAGUUAAGUCACUAAAAAUAUAUUCUAGUCAUUAAAUUAAAACAUUUAACAAAAUUUAACCAAACACAUUUUUGUGUUUUGUCACAUGUAUUAUGGUUAAUGCACGUAUCAACAAUAUAAAAUAGGAUUUAUAUACCAGGAUUAAUAUGCCUUAUCUUGUACAAAUGCGUAAUAAAUACAUACAAAUGUAUUAUUUUAUUUUUUUAUUAAACAUAAAUUGAAUCUAUUACUAUUGAUUUAUUUAUAAUUAUUUCAGUUAAGUUAUAAGAAUGCAUAAAUACACUGUUAUUGAACCUAUUUAAAUGUAUUGUAUCUUAGACAUGAAAAAAAUCAGCUAUUAGAUAAGGUGUAGGUAUUUAGUGUUUUUUUCGUAAAAGUACUUAAUUGAUAAAAAAAAAUAUAUGCAUAUUAUGGAUAUUGAAAUACGCCAUUUAAUGAAAUAUUAACUAUAACUUAUAAAAUCAAUCAGUUGUAUAACCAACUCAUAUAAUACAUCCGGCAUGCAUUGUUUAGUUUUUAAUUAUACAACUAGAAAAUGUUUUAUAUCGUGUAUUAUAUUUUUAGUAAAAUAAUAAUUUUCAGUGGAGCCGAACUCUGCCUUAGCUUUAAAAUGUAAUUACUUUAAUAAUUUAUUGGACACUUGGAACUUAUCAUAAUAAUGGUUAUUGUGAUUAAAAAGGCCCACAUAAUUAAUCAAUCUUAUAAAAGUACCAAUCACUGUAUAGGAUAGAAUGUAACAACUUAAUUUUUAAACAAACUUAUUGCGUGUUUGUGAAGAGCCCAUGUAAAACAAACGAUAAAUGGUGCACACGGUGCAUAGAAAACAAGUAUUAUUACUGUUCGUUGUAUUAAACUAAUUUCAAUAGUCUUGUUAUUUAAAUUAUUAUCUAUUAUAGAAGUGAUUCAAAAUAUAAUAUUUUGAAAUCGUAUAGGUUCAAAGUUCGGUGCCACUGAUUAUCAUUCAAGUGACGAUAAAUGAUUAUAAAUGUUUGUUUUUUUAAAUUUGUUUUAGAUAUAUUCUCAUCAAUGUUUAUCACAACUGGGGUAAAAUAAUUGUUCUAUGAAAGUCUAUAAUCAUGAUAAGCGGACAAAUAAUUAUGAUUUUGACACAAAAAAAAAACAUGCGGAAUACUCAUUAGUUUGAUCCGAUAAACCACCAAUGUGUCUAAAAGUUAGAAAAUUGACGCAGUUUAUCAAGUUCUCUGUGACUAAAUAAAUCAUACGCUCCGUGAGGAUUGCGCACGUAAUUAAACGUUUCCUGCAGACCUCGUCAGAAUCGAUGCUAGAAACAUAUAUUGCUUUUAGUAUAUACGUAUACGUUAAAUUGACUCUCAGCAAAACCUUAGAAGUAGAGAAGCCAAAGCGGAGAAUGUUCGUGGAUGAAUAAUCACGAAUGUGUCAUCUUAUAUACACUUUAUAUUGUGUAGAGGUACAGUUUUAUUCGGCUUUUAUUGGUGACACGCUUCUGGAUGUAUGUGUUUCGAAUACGCUGAAAUUACCUAUUUGACAUUGUACAGGUCGCGUUCAAGUGAUGUUGUUUGUUUUAAAUUUAUUAAAAAAUUAAAUAAAUACAAAUUUAAAAUA